AAAGAUUUAGUUUAAAAUCUAUCAUAAAACAUUAAGUUGUCAACUUAAAAAUAUCAUCUUUA
This 62-nucleotide transfer RNA is filed under the name Trichuris sp. 2 ARS-2017. RNAcentral describes it as "tRNA-Asp". The record is from RNAcentral. Lineage: Eukaryota; Metazoa; Nematoda; Enoplea; Trichinellida; Trichuridae.